GAUGAACGCUGGCGGCGUGCCUAAUACAUGCAAGUCGAGCGAACAGACGAGGAGCUUGCUCCUCUGACGUUAGCGGCGGACGGGUGAGUAACACGUGGAUAACCUACCUAUAAGACUGGGAUAACUUCGGGAAACCGGAGCUAAUACCGGAUAAUAUAUUGAACCGCAUGGUUCAAUAGUGAAGGAUGGUUUUGCUGUCACUUAUAGAUGGAUCCGCGCCGCAUUAGCUAGUUGGUAAGGUAACGGCUUACCAAGGCAACGAUGCGUAGCCGACCUGAGAGGGUGAUCGGCCACACUGGAACUGAGACACGGUCCAGACUCCUACGGGAGGCAGCAGUAGGGAAUCUUCCGCAAUGGGCGAAAGCUUGACGGAGCAACGCCGCGUGAGUGAUGAAGGUCUUCGGAUCGUAAAACUCUGUUAUUAGGGAAGAACAAAUGUGUAAGUAACUAUGCACGUCUUGACGGUACCUAAUCAGAAAGCCACGGCUAACUACGUG
This 497-nucleotide ribosomal RNA is filed under the name uncultured bacterium. RNAcentral describes it as "partial 16S ribosomal RNA". It matches the Rfam family "Bacterial small subunit ribosomal RNA", at positions 28 to 507 of the family's 1533-position model. The record is from RNAcentral.